AUUCUGGUUGAUCCUACCAGUAAUAUACGCUUGUCUCAAAGGUUAAGCCAUGCAUGUCUAAGUACAAACAUAAAUGAAUGUGAAACCGCAUAAGGCUCAGUAUAACAGCUAUAAUUCACAAGAUCAUCCUACCACUAGUUACUUGGAUAACUGUGGAAAAUCCAGAGCUAAUACAUGCAACAUGCCGGGACUGUUGCCCUCGCGGGUAGCUGAACUGGUGCACUUAUUAGUUAAACCAAUCGCCUCCGGGCGGCUUGAGUUGAAGUCUGGAUAAGGACGCAGAUCGUAUGGUCGCUUGUCGACUGACGACAGAUCUUUCAAAUGUCUGCCCUAUCAACUAUUGAUGGUAGUGUAGAGGACUACCAUGGUUGCGACGGGUAACGGGGAAUCAGGGUUCGAUUCCGGAGAGGGAGCCUGAGAAAUGGCUACCACAUCCAAGGAAGGCAGCAGGCGCGUAAAUUACCCAAUCCCAGUACGGGGAGGUAGUGACGAGAAAUAACAAUAUGGACCUCUCUAACGAUGGUCCAUAAUUGGAAUGAGUUGAGUAUAAAUCCUUCAACAAGGAUCAAGUGGAGGGCAAGUCUGGUGCCAGCAGCCGCGGUAAUUCCAGCUCCACUAGCGUAUAUUAAAGUUGUUGCGGUUAAAACGUUCGAAGUUGAUUGCCCGUCCAGACACGUGACCGCCACGGGCGCCCCGGGUUACACGCCGGGGCCGUUCGUGCGCGCGCCUCACGGCUGCGACUCACAAUGGGUGUACUUGGGCGUUACUCUGUGAACGAGUACCGUGCUACCGGUUAACUCCGGCACGGGCUCCUCAUGGUGCUCAAGAUACUCACAUUUACCUUGAACAAAUUAGAGUGCUCAAAGCAGGCUAAGACAAAGCGUCCGGCCCCCCGUGGGUUGGCGUGUGGCCGAGAAUAUCUUGCAUGGAAUAAUGGAAUAUGACCUCGUUAUACGAUUUCGGGGGUUGGGUUUGUCAGAAACCUAGAGUAAUGAUAAAGAGUAGUUGGGGCAUGGUAUUACGGCGACGGAGAGGUGAAAUUCGUAGACGUCGUAGGACAACUGAAGCGAAAGCGUUUGCCAUGGAUGCUUUCUUUUAAUCAAGAACGGGGAGAGAGAUUCUACGCCUUCCCCGGGUUGUUUAAACAGCAAGAAUCGGGCGAAAGAUGAAAA
Molecule: ribosomal RNA, 1172 nt
Filed under: Anopheles funestus (African malaria mosquito)
Lineage: Eukaryota; Metazoa; Arthropoda; Insecta; Diptera; Culicidae
Description: eukaryotic small subunit ribosomal RNA
Rfam family: Eukaryotic small subunit ribosomal RNA
Source: RNAcentral